GGUUAAGCGACUAAGCGUACACGGUGGAUGCCCGGCAGUCAGAGGCGAUGAAGGACGUGCUAAUCUGCGAUAAGCGCCGGUAAGGUGAUAUGAACCGUUAUAACCGGCGAUUUCCGAAUGGGGAAACCCAGUGUGACUCGUCACACUAUCAUUAACUGAAUCCAUAGGUUAAUGAGGCGAACCGGGGAACUGAAACAUCUAAGUACCCCGAGGAAAAGAAAUCAACCGAGAUUCCCCAGUAGCGGCGAGCGAACGGGAGGAGCCCAGAGCCUGAAUCAGCAUGUGUGUUAGUGGAAGCGUCUGGAAAGGCGCGCGAUACAGGGUGACAGCCCCGUACACAAAAGCGCAUGUGCUGUGAGCUCGAUGAGUAGGGCGGGACACGUGGUAUCCUGUCUGAAUAUGGGGGACCAUCCUCCAAGGCUAAAUACUCCUGACUGACCGAUAGUGAACCAGUACCGUGAGGGAAAGGCGAAAAGAACCCCGGCGAGGGAGUGAAAAAGAACCUGAAACCGUGUACGUACAAGCAGUGGGAGCACAGGUUUACCUGUGUGACUGCGUACCUUUGUAUAAUGGGUCAGCGACUUAUAUUCUGUAGCAAGGUUAACCGUAUAGGGAGCCGCAGGGAAACCGAGUCUUAACCGGGCGUUAAGUUGCAGGGUAUAGACCCGAAACCCGGUGAUCUAGCCAUGGGCAGGUUGAAGGUUGGGUAACACUAACUGGAGGACCGAACCGACUAAUGUUGAAAAAUUAGCGGAUGACCUGUGGCUGGGGGUGAAAGGCCAAUCAAACCGGGAGAUAGCUGGUUCUCCCGAAAGCUAUUUAGGUAGCGCCUCGUGAAUUCAUCUCCGGGGUAGAGCACUGUUUCGGCUAGGGGCCAUCCCGGCUUACCAACCCGAUGCAAACUGCGAAUACCGGAGAAUGUUAUCACGGGAGACACACGGCGGGUGCUAACGUCCGUCGUGAAGAGGGAAACAACCCAGACCGCCAGCUAAGGUCCCAAAGUCAUGGUUAAGUGGGAAACGAUGUGGGAAGGCCCAGACAGCCGGAUGUUGGCUUAGAAGCAGCCAUCAUUUAAAGAAAGCGUAAUAGCUCACUGGUCGAGUCGGCCUGCGCGGAAGAUGUAACGGGCUAAACCAUGCACCGAAGCUGCGGCAGCGACACUGUGUGUUGUUGGGUAGGGAGCGUUCUGUAAGCCUGUGAAGGUGUGUCGUGAGGCAUGCUGGAGGUAUCAGAAGUGCGAAUGCUGACAUAAGUAACGAUAAAGCGGGUGAAAAGCCCGCUCGCCGGAAGACCAAGGGUUCCUGUCCAACGUUAAUCGGGGCAGGGUGAGUCGACCCUAAGGCGAGGCCGAAAGGCGUAGUCGAUGGGAAACGGGUUAAUAUUCCCGUACUUGGUGUUACUGCGAAGGGGGACGGAGAAGGCUAUGUUGGCCGGGCGACGGUUGUCCCGGUUUAAGCGUGUAGGUGUGUGUUCGGUAAAUCCGGUUCACUUUAACACUGAGGCGUGACGACGAGGCACUACGGUGCUGAAGCAACAAAUGCCCUGCUUCCAGGAAAGCCUCUAAGCAUCAGGUAACAUCAAAUCGUACCCCAAACCGACACAGGUGGUCAGGUAGAGAAUACCAAGGCGCUUGAGAGAACUCGGGUGAAGGAACUAGGCAAAAUGGUGCCGUAACUUCGGGAGAAGGCACGCUGACACGUAGGUGAAGUGAUUUACUCAUGGAGCUGAAGUCAGUCGAAGAUACCAGCUGGCUGCAACUGUUUAUUAAAAACACAGCACUGUGCAAACACGAAAGUGGACGUAUACGGUGUGACGCCUGCCCGGUGCCGGAAGGUUAAUUGAUGGGGUCAGCGCAAGCGAAGCUCCUGAUCGAAGCCCCGGUAAACGGCGGCCGUAACUAUAACGGUCCUAAGGUAGCGAAAUUCCUUGUCGGGUAAGUUCCGACCUGCACGAAUGGCGUAAUGAUGGCCGUGCUGUCUCCACCCGAGACUCAGUGAAAUUGAACUCGCUGUGAAGAUGCAGUGUACCCGCGGCAAGACGGAAAGACCCCGUGAACCUUUACUAUAGCUUGACACUGAACAUUGAGCCUUGAUGUGUAGGAUAGGUGGGAGGCUUUGAAGCGUGGACGCCAGUCUGCGUGGAGCCAACCUUGAAAUACCACCCUUUAAUGUUUGAUGUUCUAACGUGGACCCGUAAUCCGGGUUGCGGACAGUGUCUGGUGGGUAGUUUGACUGGGGCGGUCUCCUCCUAAAGAGUAACGGAGGAGCACGAAGGUUGGCUAAUCUGGUCGGACAUCAGGAGGUUAGUGCAAUGGCAUAAGCCAGCUUGACUGCGAGCGUGACGGCGCGAGCAGGUGCGAAAGCAGGUCAUAGUGAUCCGGUGGUUCUGAAUGGAAGGGCCAUCGCUCAACGGAUAAAAGGUACUCCGGGGAUAACAGGCUGAUACCGCCCAAGAGUUCAUAUCGACGGCGGUGUUUGGCACCUCGAUGUCGGCUCAUCACAUCCCGGGGCUGAAGUAGGUCCCAAGGGUAUGGCUGUUCGCCAUUUAAAGUGGUACGCGAGCUGGGUUUAGAACGUCGUGAGACAGUUCGGUCCCUAUCUGCCGUGGGCGCUGGAGAACUGAGGGGGCUGCUCCUAGUACGAGAGGACCGGAGUGGACGCAUCACUGGUGUUCGGGUUGUCAUGCCAAUGGCACUGCCCGGUAGCUAAAUGCGGAAGAGAUAAGUGCUGAAAGCAUCUAAGCACGAAACUUGCCCCGAGAUGAGUUCUCCCUGAGACUUAAAGUCUCCUGAAGGAACGUUGAAGACGACGACGUUGAUAGGCCGGGUGUGUAAGCGCAGCGAUGCGUUGAGCUAACCGGUACUAAUGAACCGUGAGGCUUAACCUU
Molecule: ribosomal RNA, 2886 nt
Filed under: Salmonella enterica subsp. enterica serovar Senftenberg
Lineage: Bacteria; Pseudomonadati; Pseudomonadota; Gammaproteobacteria; Enterobacterales; Enterobacteriaceae
Description: 23S ribosomal RNA
Rfam family: Bacterial large subunit ribosomal RNA
Source: RNAcentral